Molecule: ribosomal RNA, 793 nt
Filed under: Foraminifera environmental sample
Lineage: Eukaryota; Foraminifera
Description: SSU rRNA
Rfam family: Eukaryotic small subunit ribosomal RNA
Source: RNAcentral
AAGGGCACCACAAGAACGCGUGGAGCAUGUGGCUUAAUUUGACUCAACGCGGGGAAUCUUACCGGGUCCGGACACACUGAGGAUUGACAGGCGAAAAACUUUGAAAGUCAAGUCUCGGCUUGGCCGACGCUGUUUUGUAAAUUUGCUAGUCCUUUCAUGAUUGUGUGAUAAGUGGUGCAUGGCCGUUCUUAGUUCGUGGAAUAAUCUGUCUGCUUAAUUGCGUCAACUCAAAGGUACACUACAUGUCAGGAGUUUUCAAAGAAUCACACUGUGAUUUCUGAGAUUUCUCUUGCUGUAGAACUACGUGCCUUCUGCAACGAACGUGACCCCAACCCUUUUUUGUGCUGCUCAUAGUUGGUAAAAUGCAUCUUCGGAUGUUUUUUGCUUUAAAUACUUGACAGUGUAAUAAAAGGGGACUGCAGGCUUCUAGCUUGAGGAAGGUUGGGGCAAUAACAGGUCUGUGAUGCCCUUAGAUGUUCCGGGCUGCACACGUGCUACAAUGAACAGUGCAGAAAGUAUAUUUUUAAAAAUGCCUUCUAUUGGCUUCGGCUUUUAGUUGGUAUAUAACCUACUUCGAGAGAUAGUAGGCAAUCAUUUGUCAGUACUGAUUUCCCAUUAAGCUUUAGUUUAUUUCAACUUCGGUUGUUUUAAACGUAUGCUCUAUUUGUAAGACUUCGUAGUGGGGACAGACCAUUGUUAAUUAUUGGUCUCGCCUCAACUAGGAAUGCCUUGUACUGGAAAUUCAACAGGUUUCCAGGAAUACGUCCCUGCCCUUUGUACACACCGCCCGUCG